AGAAAUACCUAGUAGGGAAGACACUGUGAUCAUGAGGUGUUUUUUCCUAGAGCAAGUCUUACCUAUUGCACACCAAAUAUUCUGACCUCUGCGAUUUCCCCAAAGUUGGAAACUUGUCUGCAUAAAUUGUGGUAGUUGGUGAUGACAUGCAUUUGUUCUCUGC
Molecule: small nuclear RNA, 163 nt
Organism: Rattus norvegicus (Norway rat)
Lineage: Eukaryota; Metazoa; Chordata; Mammalia; Rodentia; Muridae
Product: U1 spliceosomal RNA
Source: Ensembl